This is a long non-coding RNA of Myotis daubentonii (Daubenton's bat), 530 nucleotides long. RefSeq lists it as uncharacterized. NCBI's taxonomy places the organism in Eukaryota, Metazoa, Chordata, Mammalia, Chiroptera, Vespertilionidae. The record is from RefSeq and is a predicted model, not a curated record.
GGAAGAACCUUCACCAGGAACCGAUCAGGUGGCACCCUGCUCCCAGGCUUUCCAGCCUCCAGCUCGGUGAGAAAUCCGUCCCUGUCGUUUCAGCCAGCAGGUUGGCGGUGGUAUUUCAUCUGCCAUAUUGCUGAAAGUGGGUUUCCAUGAGAAAUGAACAAAACCAAACCUUGAUUUUGGACUUCCAGGCUCCAGAACAUUUUCAGGAAGAGAAAAAUCGUGGGAGACUCGUCAGCACCACUUCCUGAGACGUAGAACACUGGAGAUGGGGUGGAAGCAGAGACGGAGGAAGAGCUUAGCCGAGUUUUCAAAGUGGAGCUGGAACGUGAAAGGCACAGGGGAGGAGCCAAUGAACAGGACUAGAAAUGCACACAUUCGGCUAAUCAAGUUACCACAAAACGGGAAGCUAUUUAGAGGCAGAGCUGGAAUUAAUACCCAACUCUGACUUCAAAUCACGAAGACCAAGAUGAGAACCUCUCACCCGGUUGAGAACCAUGCUAAAGCUGUGCAAUAUUGGCAGGUAGACCCAG